UGAGUCGGCCGGGCGGUCGCGUCGAGGGAGACCUCGCCGAGGAACGUCCGGGCUCCGCAGAGCAAGGUGGUGGGUAACGCCCACCCGGGGUGACCCGCGGGACAGUGCCACAGAGAACAGACCGCCUCGACGUCCGGCCUCGGCCGGCGACGGGGUCAGGGUGAAACGGUGGUGUAAGAGACCACCAGCGUGCCGGGUGACCGGUGCGGCUCGGUAAACCCCACCUGGAGCAAGGUCAGACAGGGAGCGUUCGAGGGCUGCUCGCCCGAGCUCCCGGGUAGACCGCUGGAGGCGUGCGGCAACGUACGUCCUAGAGGGAUGGCCGCCACCCGCGCGGGGGAGACCGCGCGCGGGGACAGAACCCGGCGUACAGGCCGACUCAUCCA
This 386-nucleotide RNase P RNA is filed under the name Actinotalea ferrariae CF5-4. RNAcentral's name for it is "Cellulomonas sp. Mn5-4 Bacterial RNase P class A". It matches the Rfam family "Bacterial RNase P class A". From Rfam's summary of the family: Ribonuclease P (RNase P) is a ubiquitous endoribonuclease, found in archaea, bacteria and eukarya as well as chloroplasts and mitochondria. Its best characterised activity is the generation of mature 5'-ends of tRNAs by cleaving the 5'-leader elements of precursor-tRNAs. Lineage: Bacteria; Bacillati; Actinomycetota; Actinomycetes; Micrococcales; Cellulomonadaceae. The record is from Rfam by way of RNAcentral.